RNAcentral lists this long non-coding RNA (1048 nucleotides) under Citrus x clementina. RNAcentral's name for it is "Citrus clementina (C. clementina) long non-coding RNA (CCLE_LNC006057)". The record is from RNAcentral. Lineage: Eukaryota; Viridiplantae; Streptophyta; Magnoliopsida; Sapindales; Rutaceae.
GUCCGCGCGGACUCGGAAUGGUCCCAGACUUUGCGGGCGGCCUCCGUGUGCCAAAAUUAGGCCACGGGCACAGCCGCGCCCAAAAAUCAGCCCCCGAAGGUCGGGGCGCCAAGACCCCCCAGCGGAAAAAUGGCCAAAAAACGGGUGGGCUAUAGCCUUGGUGGGGGGCGUGGGCGAAGUUCGUCCGCCGGACUCGGAAUGGCCCCAGACUUUGCGGGCGGCCUCCGUGUGCCACAAAUACGCCACGGGCACAGCUGCGCCCAAAAAUCAGCCCCCGAUGGUCGGGGUGCCAAGACCCCCCAACGGAAAAAUGGCCAAAAAACGGGUGGGCUAUACCCUUGGUGGGGGGCGUGGGCGAAGUUCGUCCGCGCGGACUCGGAAUGGCCCCAGACUUUGCGGGCGGCCUCCGUGUGCCAAAAUUAGGCCACGGGCACAGCCGCGCCCAAAAAUCAGCCCCCGAAGGUCGGGGCGCCAAGACCCCCCAGCGGAAAAAUGGCCAAAAAACGGGUGGGCUAUAGCCUUGGUGGGGGGCGUGGGCGAAGUUCGUCCGCCGGACUCGGAAUGGCCCCAGACUUUGCGGGCGUCCUCCGUGUGCCAAAAUUAGGCCACGGGCACAGCCGUGCCCAAAAAUCAGCCCCCGAAGGUCGGGGCGCCAAGACGCCCCAGCGGAAGAAUGGCCAAAAAACGGGCUGGUAUUGCCUUGGUGGGGGGCGUGGGCGAAGUUCGUCCGCCGGACUCGGAAUGGCCCCAGACUUUGCGGGCGGCCUCCGUGUGCCAAAAAUAGGCCACGGGCACAGAUGCGCGCAAAAAUCAGCCCCCGAAGGUCGGGGCGCCAAGACCCCCCAGCGGAAAAAUGGCCAAAAAACGGAUGGGCUAUAGCCUUGGUGGGGGGCGUGGGCGACGUUCGUCCGCCGGACUCGGAAUGGCCCCAGACUUUGCGGGCGGCCUCCGUGUGCCAAAAUUAGGCCACGGGCACAGCUGCGUGCAAAAAUCAGCCACCGACGGUCGGGGCGCCAAGACCCCCCAGCGGAAAAUGACCAAAAAACGG